AGGAUGGUAGUUUAGUGGUAAAGCGCUCGGCUCCAAACUGAGAACCGGAAGUUCAAUUCUUCCCCGUCCUG
Actinomortierella wolfii is the source of this 71-nucleotide non-coding RNA. The record is from the annotation of a GenBank genome assembly. Lineage: Eukaryota; Fungi; Mortierellomycota; Mortierellomycetes; Mortierellales; Mortierellaceae.